GAUGAACGCUAGCUACAGGCUUAACACAUGCAAGUCGAGGGGUAACGAGAGGAAAGCUUGCUUUCCUUGUCGACGACCGGCGCACGGGUGAGUAACGCGUAUCCAACCUGCCCCCAACUAGGGAAUAACCUUGCGAAAGUAAGACUAAUACCCUAUAAUUUCCUCAGAUGUCAUCUGACGAGGAAUAAAGAUUUAUCGGUUAUGGAUGGGGAUGCGUCUGAUUAGCUUGUUGGCGGGGUAACGGCCCACCAAGGCAACGAUCAGUAGGGGUUCUGCAAGGAAGGUCCCCCACAUUGGAACUGAGAUACGGUCCAAACUCCUACGGGAGGCAGCAGUGAGGAAUAGUGGUCAAUGGGCGGAAGCCUGAACCAGCCAAGUAGCGUGCAGGAUGACGGCCCUAUGGGUUGUAAACUGCUUUUAUACAGGAAUAAAGUUAGCCACGUGUGGUUAUUUGUAGGUACUGUAUGAAUAAGGACCGGCUAAUUCCGUGCCAGCCGCCGCCGUAA
RNAcentral lists this ribosomal RNA (506 nucleotides) under uncultured bacterium. Its description in RNAcentral is "partial 16S ribosomal RNA". It matches the Rfam family "Bacterial small subunit ribosomal RNA", at positions 28 to 523 of the family's 1533-position model. The record is from RNAcentral.